Molecule: ribosomal RNA, 497 nt
Filed under: uncultured bacterium
Lineage: Bacteria
Description: partial 16S ribosomal RNA
Rfam family: Bacterial small subunit ribosomal RNA
Source: RNAcentral
GAUGAACGCUGGCGGCGUGCCUAAUACAUGCAAGUCGAGCGAACAGACGAGGAGCUUGCUCCUCUGACGUUAGCGGCGGACGGGUGAGUAACACGUGGAUAACCUACCUAUAAGACUGAGAUAACUUCGGGAAACCGGAGCUAAUACCGGAUAACAUGUUGAACCGCAUGGUUCAACAGUGAAAGACGGUCUUGCUGUCACUUAUAGAUGGAUCCGCGCCGCAUUAGCUAGUUGGUAAGGUAACGGCUUACCAAGGCAACGAUGCGUAGCCGACCUGAGAGGGUGAUCGGCCACACUGGAACUGAGACACGGUCCAGACUCCUACGGGAGGCAGCAGUAGGGAAUCUUCCGCAAUGGGCGAAAGCCUGACGGAGCAACGCCGCGUGAGUGAUGAAGGUCUUCGGAUCGUAAAACUCUGUUAUUAGGGAAGAACAAAUGUGUAAGUAACUAUGCACGUCUUGACGGUACCUAAUCAGAAAGCCACGGCUAACUACGUG